Molecule: ribosomal RNA, 253 nt
Filed under: uncultured bacterium
Lineage: Bacteria
Description: partial 16S ribosomal RNA
Rfam family: Bacterial small subunit ribosomal RNA
Source: RNAcentral
UACGUAGGGUGCAAGCGUUAAUCGGAAUUACUGGGCGUAAAGCGUGCGCAGGCGGCUUUGCAAGACAGAUGUGAAAUCCCCGGGCUCAACCUGGGAACUGCAUUUGUGACUGCAAGGCUGGAGUACGGCAGAGGGGGAUGGAAUUCCGCGUGUAGCAGUGAAAUGCGUAGAUAUGCGGAGGAACACCGAUGGCGAAGGCAAUCCCCUGGGCCUGUACUGACGCUCAUGCACGAAAGCCAGGGGAGCAAACGGG